This 903-nucleotide ribosomal RNA is filed under the name Russula viridirubrolimbata. RNAcentral's name for it is "eukaryotic LSU rRNA". It matches the Rfam family "Eukaryotic large subunit ribosomal RNA", at positions 82 to 960 of the family's 3401-position model. The record is from RNAcentral. Lineage: Eukaryota; Fungi; Basidiomycota; Agaricomycetes; Russulales; Russulaceae.
AGUAACUGCGAGUGAAGCGGGAAAAGCUCAAAUUUAAAAUCUGGUGGCCUUUGGCCAUCCGAGUUGUAAUUUAGAGAAGCGUCUUCCGCGCUGGACCGUGCACAAGUCUCCUGGAAUGGAGCGUCAUAGAGGGUGAGAAUCCCGUCUUUGGCACGGACUCCCGGUGCUUCUGUGAUGCGCUCUCAAAGAGUCGAGUUGUUUGGGAAUGCAGCUCAAAAUGGGUGGUGAACUCCAUCUAAAGCUAAAUACUGGCGAGAGACCGAUAGCGAACAAGUACCGUGAGGGAAAGAUGAAAAGCACUUUGGAAAGAGAGUGAAACAGUACGUGAAAUUGUUGAAAGGGAAACGCUUGAAGUCAGUCGCGUUGACCGAGACUCAGCCUUGCCUCGGCUUGGUGUGCUUCUCGGCUCGACGGGUCAGCAUCAAUUUCGAUCCUCGGAUAAUGGCAGGGGAAAGGUGGCACCUUUUUUUAGGUGUGUUAUAGUCCUCUGUCGCAUGCGAGGGUCGGGAUUGAGGAACUCAGCAUGCGCCUCUGGGUGCCGGGGCCUUGGCCUACGUUACGUGCUUAGGAUGCUGGCAUAAUGGCUUUAAACGACCCGUCUUGAAACACGGACCAAGGAGUCUAACAUACCCGCGAGUGUUCGGGUGGAAAACCCGUGCGCGUAAUGAAAGUAAAAGUUGGGACCUCUGUCGUGGAGGGCACCGACGCCCGGACCAGACCUUCUGUGACGGCUCUGCGGUAGAGCGUGUAUGUUGGGACCCGAAAGAUGGUGAACUAUGCCUGAAUAGGGUGAAGCCAGAGGAAACUCUGGUGGAGGCUCGUAGCGAUUCUGACGUGCAAAUCGAUCGUCAAAUUUGGGUAUAGGGGCGAAAGACUAAUCGAACCAUCUAGAGCUGGUCCUCC